This 2771-nucleotide ribosomal RNA is filed under the name Escherichia coli. RNAcentral's name for it is "partial 23S ribosomal RNA". It matches the Rfam family "Bacterial large subunit ribosomal RNA". The record is from RNAcentral. Lineage: Bacteria; Pseudomonadati; Pseudomonadota; Gammaproteobacteria; Enterobacterales; Enterobacteriaceae.
GUUAAGCGACUAAGCGUACACGGUGGAUGCCCUGGCAGUCAGAGGCGAUGAAGGACGUGCUAAUCUGCGAUAAGCGUCGGUAAGGUGAUAUGAACCGUUAUAACCGGCGAUUUCCGAAUGGGGAAACCCAGUGUGUUUCGACACACUAUCAUUAACUGAAUCCAUAGGUUAAUGAGGCGAACCGGGGGAACUGAAACAUCUAAGUACCCCGAGGAAAAGAAAUCAACCGAGAUUCCCCCAGUAGCGGCGAGCGAACGGGGAGCAGCCCAGAGCCUGAAUCAGUGUGUGUGUUAGUGGAAGCGUCUGGAAAGGCGCGCGAUACAGGGUGACAGCCCCGUACACAAAAAUGCACAUGCUGUGAGCUCGAUGAGUAGGGCGGGACACGUGGUAUCCUGUCUGAAUAUGGGGGGACCAUCCUCCAAGGCUAAAUACUCCUGACUGACCGAUAGUGAACCAGUACCGUGAGGGAAAGGCGAAAAGAACCCCGGCGAGGGGAGUGAAAAAGAACCUGAAACCGUGUACGUACAAGCAGUGGGAGCACGCUUAGGCGUGUGACUGCGUACCUUUUGUAUAAUGGGUCAGCGACUUAUAUUCUGUAGCAAGGUUAACCGAAUAGGGGAGCCGAAGGGAAACCGAGUCUUAACUGGGCGUUAAGUUGCAGGGUAUAGACCCGAAACCCGGUGAUCUAGCCAUGGGCAGGUUGAAGGUUGGGUAACACUAACUGGAGGACCGAACCGACUAAUGUUGAAAAAUUAGCGGAUGACUUGUGGCUGGGGGUGAAAGGCCAAUCAAACCGGGAGAUAGCUGGUUCUCCCCGAAAGCUAUUUAGGUAGCGCCUCGUGAAUUCAUCUCCGGGGGUAGAGCACUGUUUCGGCAAGGGGGUCAUCCCGACUUACCAACCCGAUGCAAACUGCGAAUACCGGAGAAUGUUAUCACGGGAGACACACGGCGGGUGCUAACGUCCGUCGUGAAGAGGGAAACAACCCAGACCGCCAGCUAAGGUCCCAAAGUCAUGGUUAAGUGGGAAACGAUGUGGGAAGGCCCAGACAGCCAGGAUGUUGGCUUAGAAGCAGCCAUCAUUUAAAGAAAGCGUAAUAGCUCACUGGUCGAGUCGGCCUGCGCGGAAGAUGUAACGGGGCUAAACCAUGCACCGAAGCUGCGGCAGCGACGCUGAUGCGUUGUUGGGUAGGGGAGCGUUCUGUAAGCCUGCGAAGGUGUGCUGUGAGGCAUGCUGGAGGUAUCAGAAGUGCGAAUGCUGACAUAAGUAACGAUAAAGCGGGUGAAAAGCCCGCUCGCCGGAAGACCAAGGGUUCCUGUCCAACGUUAAUCGGGGCAGGGUGAGUCGACCCCUAAGGCGAGGCCGAAAGGCGUAGUCGAUGGGAAACAGGUUAAUAUUCCUGUACUUGGUGUUACUGCGAAGGGGGGACGGAGAAGGCUAUGUUGGCCGGGCGACGGUUGUCCCGGUUUAAGCGUGUAGGCUGGUUUUCCAGGCAAAUCCGGAAAAUCAAGGCUGAGGCGUGAUGACGAGGCACUACGGUGCUGAAGCAACAAAUGCCCUGCUUCCAGGAAAAGCCUCUAAGCAUCAGGUAACAUCAAAUCGUACCCCAAACCGACACAGGUGGUCAGGUAGAGAAUACCAAGGCGCUUGAGAGAACUCGGGUGAAGGAACUAGGCAAAAUGGUGCCGUAACUUCGGGAGAAGGCACGCUGAUAUGUAGGUGAAGUCCCUCGCGGAUGGAGCUGAAAUCAGUCGAAGAUACCAGCUGGCUGCAACUGUUUAUUAAAAACACAGCACUGUGCAAACACGAAAGUGGACGUAUACGGUGUGACGCCUGCCCGGUGCCGGAAGGUUAAUUGAUGGGGUCAGCGCAAGCGAAGCUCUUGAUCGAAGCCCCGGUAAACGGCGGCCGUAACUAUAACGGUCCUAAGGUAGCGAAAUUCCUUGUCGGGUAAGUUCCGACCUGCACGAAUGGCGUAAUGAUGGCCAGGCUGUCUCCACCCGAGACUCAGUGAAAUUGAACUCGCUGUGAAGAUGCAGUGUACCCGCGGCAAGACGGAAAGACCCCGUGAACCUUUACUAUAGCUUGACACUGAACAUUGAGCCUUGAUGUGUAGGAUAGGUGGGAGGCUUUGAAGUGUGGACGCCAGUCUGCAUGGAGCCGACCUUGAAAUACCACCCUUUAAUGUUUGAUGUUCUAACGUGGACCCGUGAUCCGGGUUGCGGACAGUGUCUGGUGGGUAGUUUGACUGGGGCGGUCUCCUCCUAAAGAGUAACGGAGGAGCACGAAGGUUGGCUAAUCCUGGUCGGACAUCAGGAGGUUAGUGCAAUGGCAUAAGCCAGCUUGACUGCGAGCGUGACGGCGCGAGCAGGUGCGAAAGCAGGUCAUAGUGAUCCGGUGGUUCUGAAUGGAAGGGCCAUCGCUCAACGGAUAAAAGGUACUCCGGGGAUAACAGGCUGAUACCGCCCAAGAGUUCAUAUCGACGGCGGUGUUUGGCACCUCGAUGUCGGCUCAUCACAUCCUGGGGCUGAAGUAGGUCCCAAGGGUAUGGCUGUUCGCCAUUUAAAGUGGUACGCGAGCUGGGUUUAGAACGUCGUGAGACAGUUCGGUCCCUAUCUGCCGUGGGCGCUGGAGAACUGAGGGGGGCUGCUCCUAGUACGAGAGGACCGGAGUGGACGCAUCACUGGUGUUCGGGUUGUCAUGCCAAUGGCACUGCCCGGUAGCUAAAUGCGGAAGAGAUAAGUGCUGAAAGCAUCUAAGCACGAAACUUGCC